This 491-nucleotide ribosomal RNA is filed under the name uncultured bacterium. RNAcentral describes it as "partial 16S ribosomal RNA". It matches the Rfam family "Bacterial small subunit ribosomal RNA", at positions 28 to 507 of the family's 1533-position model. The record is from RNAcentral.
GAUGAACGCUGGCUACAGGCUUAACACAUGCAAGUCGAGGGGAAACGACGGGGAAGCUUGCUUCCCCGGGCGUCGACCGGCGCACGGGUGAGUAACGCGUAUCCAACCUGCCUCUGACUGAGGGAUAACCCGUCGAAAGUCGGCCUAAUACCUCAUGGCAUCGUCUGCGGGCAUCCAACGACGAUUAAAGAUUUCAUCGGUCAGGGAUGGGGAUGCGUCUGAUUAGCUUGUUGGCGGGGUAACGGCCCACCAAGGCUACGAUCAGUAGGGGUUCUGAGAGGAAGGUCCCCCACAUUGGAACUGAGACACGGUCCAAACUCCUACGGGAGGCAGCAGUGAGGAAUAUUGGUCAAUGGGCGGGAGCCUGAACCAGCCAAGUAGCGUGCAGGAUGACGGCCCUAUGGGUUGUAAACUGCUUUUAUGCGGGGAUAAAGUGAGGGACGUGUCCUCCAUUGCAGGUACCGCAUGAAUAAGGACCGGCUAAUUCCGUG